UACAGAGGGUGCAAGCGUUAAUCGGAAUUACUGGGCGUAAAGCGUGCGUAGGCGGAUAUUUAAGUCAGAUGUGAAAGCCCCGGGCUCAACCUGGGAAUUGCAUCUGAUACUGGGUAUCUGGAGUAUGGUAGAGGAUAGUGUAAUUCCAGGUGUAGCGGUGAAAUGCGUAGAUAUCUGGAGGAACAUCAGUGGCGAAGGCGACUGUCUGGACCAAAACUGACGCUGAGGUGCGAAAGCGUGGGGAGCAAACAGG
This 253-nucleotide ribosomal RNA is filed under the name uncultured bacterium. RNAcentral's name for it is "partial 16S ribosomal RNA". It matches the Rfam family "Bacterial small subunit ribosomal RNA", at positions 524 to 776 of the family's 1533-position model. The record is from RNAcentral.